Molecule: ribosomal RNA, 301 nt
Filed under: uncultured bacterium
Lineage: Bacteria
Description: partial 16S ribosomal RNA
Rfam family: Bacterial small subunit ribosomal RNA
Source: RNAcentral
CAGUAGCCGCGGUAAUACGGAGGGUGCAAGCGUUAAUCGGAAUUACUGGGCGUAAAGCGUGCGUAGGCGGUUUGUUAAGUCUGUUGUGAAAUCCCCGGGCUCAACCUGGGAAUGGCAAUGGAUACUGGCAGGCUAGAGUGUGAUAGAGGAUGGUGGAAUUCCCGGUGUAGCGGUGAAAUGCGUAGAGAUCGGGAGGAACAUCAGUGGCGAAGGCGGCCAUCUGGAUCAACACUGACGCUGAGGCACGAAAGCGUGGGGAGCAAACAGGAUUAGAUACCCCUGUAGUCCCUGUCUCUUAUAC